UAUCUCUCCGUACGGGGAAGGAUGAGAAGCUUCGACUAAGGUUCGAUUCGAGCGCAGCGAGAAAACGUUGCCGCAGGCAACGACCCGAAGGGUGAGGAGCGGAGCGACGAAUAAUCCUUCCCCCA
This 125-nucleotide small RNA is filed under the name Salmonella enterica. Its description in RNAcentral is "RtT sRNA". It matches the Rfam family "RtT RNA". Rfam says of the family: This family represents a bacterial cis-regulatory element known as RtT RNA. The exact function of RtT is unknown although it is thought that it may be involved in changing the cellular response in relation to amino acid starvation. The record is from RNAcentral. Lineage: Bacteria; Pseudomonadati; Pseudomonadota; Gammaproteobacteria; Enterobacterales; Enterobacteriaceae.